This 428-nucleotide ribosomal RNA is filed under the name uncultured prokaryote. RNAcentral's name for it is "bacterial SSU rRNA". It matches the Rfam family "Bacterial small subunit ribosomal RNA", at positions 355 to 774 of the family's 1533-position model. The record is from RNAcentral.
UGAGGAAUCUUGCGCAAUGGGGGAAACCCUGACGCAGCAACGCCGCGUGAGUGAAGAAGGCCUUCGGGUCGUAAAGCUCUGUCAGCUGGGAAGAAAUGGAUGGGGGCUAAUAUCGUCCAUCCUUGACGGUACCAUCAGAGGAAGCACCGGCUAACUCCGUGCCAGCAGCCGCGGUAAUACGGGGGGUGCAAGCGUUGUUCGGAAUCAUUUGGCGUACAGCGCGCGCAGGCGGCUGGGUAAGUCAGAGGUGAAAUCCCUGGGCUUAACCCAGGAAGUGCAUUGGAUACUGCCUCGCGAGAGGACGGGAGAGGAAAGUGGAAUUCCUGGUGUAGAGGUGAAAGUCGUAGAUAUCAGGAGGAACACCGGUGGCGAAGGCGACUUUCUGGCCCGAUACUGACGCUCAGGUGCGAAAGCGUGGGGAGCAAACA